This 258-nucleotide ribosomal RNA is filed under the name uncultured bacterium. RNAcentral's name for it is "partial 16S ribosomal RNA". It matches the Rfam family "Bacterial small subunit ribosomal RNA", at positions 96 to 354 of the family's 1533-position model. The record is from RNAcentral.
UGGCGAACGGGUGAGUAAUACAUCGGAACGUGUCCGCUCGUGGGGGGACAACCAGCCGAAAGGUUGGCUAAUACCGCAUGAGUUCUACGGAAGAAAGAGGGGGACCCGCAAGGGCCUCUCGCGAGCGGAGCGGCCGAUGACUGAUUAGCCGGUUGGUGAGGUAACGGCUCACCAAAGCAACGAUCAGUAGCUGGUCUGAGAGGACGACCAGCCACACUGGGACUGAGACACGGCCCAGACUCCUACGGAAGGCAGCAG